CAGCUAGUAGUUUAUAUAAAACUUUAAUUUUGGGGAUUAAUAAUGGGAUUUAUUCUCCUUGCUGA
This 65-nucleotide transfer RNA is filed under the name Rhynocoris fuscipes. RNAcentral's name for it is "tRNA-Pro". The record is from RNAcentral. Lineage: Eukaryota; Metazoa; Arthropoda; Insecta; Hemiptera; Reduviidae.